GUUCCUGUAACGCAAUGGAUAGCGUGUUGGACGUCUAAUCCAAAGGUAGUGGAUUUGAGAAUCCCACCUGGGAUG
Non-coding RNA from Trichonephila clavipes, 75 nucleotides. NCBI's taxonomy places the organism in Eukaryota, Metazoa, Arthropoda, Arachnida, Araneae, Nephilidae. The record is from the annotation of a GenBank genome assembly.